AACUUUAGAGCCAUACAUGUAGAUAUGUGUGUAGAAGUGAGAUUUACAGCUGAGUAAUCAAAUAUAAAAGAUUGAGAUGAAUAGUCAUGCUUCGCAUUAACACUCUUUGCCUAUUCUUUUUUGUUCUGGGAAUGGAGUUUAUCAACAUUUGAAUUGUUGAUGCACGAGAGGCCUUUUGUAUGGCAAAUGCUUGUAUGGAGUU
This 202-nucleotide unclassified non-coding RNA is filed under the name Hevea brasiliensis (rubber tree). The record is from RNAcentral. Lineage: Eukaryota; Viridiplantae; Streptophyta; Magnoliopsida; Malpighiales; Euphorbiaceae.